CCUACGGGAGGCAGCAGUAGGGAAUAUUGCUCAAUGGGGGAAACCCUGAAGCAGCAACGCCGCGUGGAGGAUGAAGGUUUUCGGAUUGUAAACUCCUUUUGUUAGAGAAGAUAAUGACGGUAUCUAACGAAUAAGCACCGGCUAACUCCGCGCCAGCAGCCGCGGUAAUACGGAGGGUGCAAGCGUUACUCGGAAUCACUGGGCGUAAAGAGUGCGUAGGCGGGGUAAUAAGUCAGAUGUGAAAUCCUGUAGCUUAACUACAGAACUGCAUUUGAAACUGUUACUCUGGAGUGUGGGAGAGGUAGGUGGAAUUCUUGGUGUAGGGGUAAAAUGCGUAGAGAUCAGGAGGAAUACUCGUUGCGAAGGCGACCUGCUGGAACAUUACUGACGCUGAUGCACGAAAGCGUGGGGAGCAAACAGGAUUAGAUACCCGAGUAGUC
RNAcentral lists this ribosomal RNA (440 nucleotides) under uncultured bacterium. Its description in RNAcentral is "partial 16S ribosomal RNA". It matches the Rfam family "Bacterial small subunit ribosomal RNA", at positions 338 to 795 of the family's 1533-position model. The record is from RNAcentral.